UACGAAGGGGGCUAGCGUUGUUCGGAUUUACUGGGCGUAAGGCGCGCGUAGGCGGAUUUGCAAGUCGGGGGUGAAAGCCCGAGGCUCAACCUCGGAACUGCCCUCGAUACUGCAAAUCUCGAGUCCGAGAGAGGUGAGUGGAAUUCCUAGUGUAGAGGUGAAAUUCGUAGAUAUUAGGAAGAACACCAGUGGCGAAGGCGGCUCACUGGCUCGGUACUGACGCUGAGGCGCGAAAGCGUGGGGAGCAAACAGG
This 253-nucleotide ribosomal RNA is filed under the name uncultured bacterium. RNAcentral describes it as "partial 16S ribosomal RNA". It matches the Rfam family "Bacterial small subunit ribosomal RNA", at positions 524 to 776 of the family's 1533-position model. The record is from RNAcentral.